GCCUUGCGCCCGGGUGAGGCGGCGGCCUCGAGGUUGUCCUGCUGUGCUCCGCAGUGCUCCAACGCCGCGGGGCGGCUCCGGGCGCCGCCUCAGCUUCUACAGGAGAGACGUUGUGGGUGAGACAGAGGGAACAUCAAAUGAGAAACUGGGAAGAGAUA
This is a long non-coding RNA of Gallus gallus (chicken), 158 nucleotides long. RefSeq lists it as uncharacterized. The record is from RefSeq and is a predicted model, not a curated record. NCBI's taxonomy places the organism in Eukaryota, Metazoa, Chordata, Aves, Galliformes, Phasianidae. The transcript has 2 exons.